AUUUACCUACGGGGGGCAGCAGUGAGGAAUAUUGGUCAAUGGACGCAAGUCUGAACCAGCCAAGUAGCGUGCAGGAUGACGGCCCUCCGGGUUGUAAACUGCUUUUAGUUGGGAAUAAAAGGGGGCUCGCGAGCCCCGUAUUGUAUGUACCAUAAGAAAAAGGACCGGCUAAUUCCGUGCCAGCGGCAGCGGUAAUACGGAAGGUCCGGCCGUUAUCUGGAUUUAUUGGGUUUAAA
Molecule: ribosomal RNA, 236 nt
Filed under: uncultured bacterium
Lineage: Bacteria
Description: partial 16S ribosomal RNA
Rfam family: Bacterial small subunit ribosomal RNA
Source: RNAcentral